UGCAGUGGACGCAAUUGAUUCUCCCGUAGCUUGCUACAUUUGAAUUGAUUGAGUCGCGAACGGGUGAGUAACGCGUAGGUAACCUACCUUAUAGCGGGGGAUAACUAUUGGAAACGAUAGCUAAUACCGCAUAAGAGUUGACAACACAUGUUGUUAAUUUAAAAGGAGCAAUUGCUUCACUAUGAGAUGGACCUGCGUUGUAUUAGCUAGUUGGUAAGGUAACGGCUUACCAAGGCUUCGAUACAUAGCCGACCUGAGAGGGUGAUCGGCCACACUGGGACUGAGACACGGCCCAGACUCCUACGGGAGGCAGCAGUAGGGAAUCUUCGGCAAUGGGGGGAACCCUGACCGAGCAACGCCGCGUGAGUGAAGAAGGUUUUCGGAUCGUAAAGCUCUGUUAUAAGCGAAGAACGGGAGUAAGAGUGGAAAGUUUACUCUGUGACGGUAGCUUAUCAGAAAGGGACGGCUAACUACGUGCCAGCAGCCGCGGUAAUACGUAGGUCCCGAGCGUUGUCCGGAUUUAUUGGGCGUAAAGCGAGCGCAGGUGGUUUAAUAAGUCUGAAGUUAAAGGCAUUGGCUCAACCAAUGUACGCUUUGGAAACUGUUAAACUUGAGUGCAGAAGGGGAGAGUGGAAUUCCAUGUGUAGCGGUGAAAUGCGUAGAUAUAUGGAGGAACACCGGUGGCGAAAGCGGCUCUCUGGUCUGUAACUGACACUGAGGCUCGAAAGCGUGGGUAGCGAACAGGAUUAGAUACCCUGGUAGUCCACGCCGUAAACGAUGAGUGCUAGGUGUUGGGUCCUUUCCGGGACUCAGUGCCGCAGCUAACGCAUUAAGCACUCCGCCUGGGGAGUACGACCGCAA
RNAcentral lists this ribosomal RNA (861 nucleotides) under Streptococcus pluranimalium. Its description in RNAcentral is "bacterial SSU rRNA". It matches the Rfam family "Bacterial small subunit ribosomal RNA", at positions 56 to 891 of the family's 1533-position model. The record is from RNAcentral. Lineage: Bacteria; Bacillati; Bacillota; Bacilli; Lactobacillales; Streptococcaceae.